This 465-nucleotide ribosomal RNA is filed under the name Vreelandella stevensii. Its description in RNAcentral is "partial 16S ribosomal RNA". It matches the Rfam family "Bacterial small subunit ribosomal RNA", at positions 338 to 795 of the family's 1533-position model. The record is from RNAcentral. Lineage: Bacteria; Pseudomonadati; Pseudomonadota; Gammaproteobacteria; Oceanospirillales; Halomonadaceae.
CCUACGGGAGGCAGCAGUGGGGAAUAUUGGACAAUGGGCGAAAGCCUGAUCCAGCCAUGCCGCGUGUGUGAAGAAGGCCUUCGGGUUGUAAAGCACUUUCAGUGGGGAAGAAAGCCUUGGGGCUAAUACCCUCGAGGAAGGACAUCACCCACAGAAGAAGCACCGGCUAACUCCGUGCCAGCAGCCGCGGUAAUACGGAGGGUGCGAGCGUUAAUCGGAAUUACUGGGCGUAAAGCGCGCGUAGGCGGUCUGAUAAGCCGGUUGUGAAAGCCCCGGACUCAACCUGGGAACGGCAUCCGGAACUGUCAGGCUAGAGUGCAGGAGAGGAAGGUAGAAUUCCCGGUGUAGCGGUGAAAUGCGUAGAGAUCGGGAGGAAUACCAGUGGCGAAGGCGGCCUUCUGGACUGACACUGACGCUGAGGUGCGAAAGCGUGGGUAGCAAACAGGAUUAGAUACCCCAGUAGUC